UACGUAGGGUGCAAGCGUUAAUCGGAAUUACUGGGCGUAAAGCGUGCGCAGGCGGUUUUGUAAGUCUGAUGUGAAAUCCCCGGGCUCAACCUGGGAAUUGCAUUGGAGACUGCAAGGCUAGAAUCUGGCAGAGGGGGGUAGAAUUCCACGUGUAGCAGUGAAAUGCGUAGAGAUGUGGAGGAACACCGAUGGCGAAGGCAGCCCCCUGGGUCAAGAUUGACGCUCAUGCACGAAAGACGUGGGGAGCAAC
RNAcentral lists this ribosomal RNA (250 nucleotides) under uncultured bacterium. Its description in RNAcentral is "partial 16S ribosomal RNA". It matches the Rfam family "Bacterial small subunit ribosomal RNA", at positions 524 to 772 of the family's 1533-position model. The record is from RNAcentral.